CCUACGGGAGGCAGCAGUGGGGGAUAUUGCACAAUGGGGGAAACCCUGAUGCAGCGACGCCGCGUGGGUGAAGACGCGCCUCGGCUCGUAAAGCCCUGUCAUCAGGGAAGAAAAUGACGGUAGCUGAAGAAGAAGCCCCGGCUAACUACGUGCCAGCAGCCGCGGUAAUACGUAGGGGGCAAGCGUUGUCCGGAUUUACUGGGUGUAAAGGGUGCGCAGGCGGGGAUGCAAGCCAGGAGUGAAAGCUCGGGGCUCAACCCCGGAACUGCUCUUGAAACUGCGUGGCUAGAGGGCAGGAGGGGCAGGCGGAAUUCCUGGUGUAGCGGUGAAAUGCGUAGAGAUCAGGAGGAACACCGGUGGCGAAGGCGGCCUGCUGGACUGCAACUGACGUUGAGGCCCGAAAGCGUGGGGAGCAAACAGGAUUAGAUACCCGAGUAGUC
Molecule: ribosomal RNA, 440 nt
Filed under: uncultured bacterium
Lineage: Bacteria
Description: partial 16S ribosomal RNA
Rfam family: Bacterial small subunit ribosomal RNA
Source: RNAcentral